UUUAAACAUUUCGCCAUGGUUUCUUCAAGCCACUAUGGGCUCUGGUUUUUGGGCACUAUGGCGAUGGUUGGGAUUCUUACAAAUAACCUACAAAAAGCUGGAGCCCAAUUCGUGGGUGUUUGUUAUGGGGCAUCAGGCGAUCUUCCACCCCCUCAUGAAGUGGUGGCCCUCUAUCAAUCCAAAGGAAUCAAGAAGAUGAGACUUUACUCCCCCUACACCGCGCCUUAGAAGCCCUUCGAGGAUCUGGCAUCAAACUAAUAUUCGGCCUCCCAAACGAAAACCUCAGACAGGCGGCAACCGACCCAUCCUUUGUUGCCGAAUGGGUUAGGACCAACGUCCAAGCAUACUUUCCUGCUGUCGAUAUCGGCUACAUUGCUGUUAGCAAAGAGGUAAUCCCGGGUCCUGAAGCUGGUAAUGUCCUUCCAGCUAUGCAGAAUGUAUACAAUGCAAUAAAGUCAGCAGGCUUACAGGAUAGUAUCAAGGUUUCCACUUCUGUUGCUCCCACCGUGAUAGGCACAUCUUAUCCACCAUCCGCCGGCUCAUUCUCUUCCGAAUCUUCAUCCACGAUGACAUCCAUCGUUGGUUUCCUUUCUAGCACUGAGGCACCACUGCUGGUGAACGUGUACCCCUAUUUCAGUUACAUAGGAAACACUAGAGAUAUUCGACUCGAGUAUGCAUUGUUUACUGCUAAUUUUGAUGUGGUAACAGAUGGUCAAUUUAGGUACCGUAACCUCUUCGAUGCAAUGGUAGAUUGUGUGUAUGCUGCAAUGGAGAAGGUUGGCGGAGGGGAAGUCCCGAUCAUAGCUAGUGAGAGCGGGUGGCCUUCUGCCGGAGGCGUCGCAGCCACAAUCGACAAUGCCCGGACCUAUAACUCGAACUUGGUGCGACAUGGGGGUCAAGGAACUCCGAGGAGGACGGGCACACCUUUGGAAAUCUAUGUGUUUGCAAUGUUCAAUGAGAAUAAGAAGGCAGCAGGGAUUGAACAAAACUUUGGGCUCUUCUAUCCCAACAAGCAGCCAAACUUUGGGCUCUUCUAUCCCAACAAGCAGCCUGUUUAUGAUGUGAAUUUCCCCUAGAGAGUCAAUAUUAAAGGCUAAGUAAGUCUCAAUAUGUUUGAAACAAAUAAAAGUCUGCUGAUUGUGAUUAUCGUUUCAAAAUAUGCAAUAUCAAAGUAAGUAACUCAGCUUUUGUUC
RNA transcript from Amborella trichopoda, 1193 nucleotides. It is a transcript of the gene named glucan endo-1,3-beta-glucosidase, with no coding region annotated. The record is from RefSeq and is a predicted model, not a curated record. NCBI's taxonomy places the organism in Eukaryota, Viridiplantae, Streptophyta, Magnoliopsida, Amborellales, Amborellaceae.